UUCCCUGGAACGGGACGCCGGAGAGGGUGAGAGCCCCGUACAGUUGGACACCAAGCCUUUGUAAAGCUCCUUCGACGAGUCGAGUAGUUUGGGAAUGCUGCUCAAAAUGGGAGGUAAAUGCCUUCUAAAGCUAAAUACCGGCCAGAGACCGAUAGCGCACAAGUAGAGUGAUCGAAAGAUGAAAAGCACUUUGAAAAGAGGGUUAAACAGUACGUGAAAUUGUUGAAAGGGAAGCGCUCGUGACCAGACUUGCGCCCGGCGGAUCAUCCGGCCUUCUGGCCGGUGCACUCCGCCGGGCUCAGGCCAGCAUCGGUUCUUCCGGGGGGACAAAAGCGGCGGGAACGUAGCUCCUCCGGGAGUGUUAUAGCCCGCCGCAGCAUACCCCCGGGGGGACCGAGGACCGCGCUUCGGCAAGGAUGCUGGCGUAAUGGUCACCAGCGACCCGUCUUGAAACACGGACCAAGGAGUCAAGCAUUAGGGCGAGUGUUUGGGUGUUAAACCCGCACGCGAAAUGAAAGUGAACGCAGGUGAGAGCUUCGGCGCAUCAUCGACCGAUCCUGAUGUUUUCGGAUGGAUUUGAGUAAGAGCCUUACCGCUUGGACCCGAAAGAUGGUGAACUAUGCUUGGAUAGGGUGAAGC
This 639-nucleotide ribosomal RNA is filed under the name soil fungal sp. DM2-430. RNAcentral describes it as "eukaryotic LSU rRNA". It matches the Rfam family "Eukaryotic large subunit ribosomal RNA", at positions 186 to 852 of the family's 3401-position model. Lineage: Eukaryota; Fungi. The record is from RNAcentral.